CGCCUCUCUUCAGUCUUCACCUUAUAUUCGCCUCUCUUCACUUUCAGUCUUCACUUCAGUACAGAUCUAUUCCUCACUCCUCACUGUAAGCAGGUGUUACCUGGUUCUGGUUGAUUAGAAUUUGUACAUGGUGGAAAUAGGCUUAUUGCAAAUCUGAAUAGAGUAUCGGAUGAGAACAAGUUAACAGAGUAUGUAUGGUAUUCGCACUUUAAUUCCAUUGUUUGUGUUCUAUUAAGCAGUCCAAUAUGAUGGACUGUGCCGUUGUGUGUAUCCAACCAAAUUAUCUCACCUUCUAAUUUCUAUCAAAGCAG
RNAcentral lists this long non-coding RNA (311 nucleotides) under Nicotiana benthamiana. Its description in RNAcentral is "long non-coding RNA (NBEN_LNC005447)". Lineage: Eukaryota; Viridiplantae; Streptophyta; Magnoliopsida; Solanales; Solanaceae. The record is from RNAcentral.